UACGGAGGGUGCAAGCGUUAUCCGGAUUUAUUGGGUUUAAAGGGUGCGUAGGCGGACUAUUAAGUCAGUGGUGAAAGCCCCAAGCUUAACUUGGGAACUGCCAUUGAUACUGAUGGUCUUGAGUACAUUUGAGGUGGGCGGAAUGUGUCAUGUAGCGGUGAAAUGCUUAGAUAUGACACAGAACACCGAUUGCGAAGGCAGCUCACUAAACUGUAACUGACGCUGAGGCACGAAAGCGUGGGGAGCAAACAGG
This 253-nucleotide ribosomal RNA is filed under the name uncultured bacterium. RNAcentral's name for it is "partial 16S ribosomal RNA". It matches the Rfam family "Bacterial small subunit ribosomal RNA", at positions 524 to 776 of the family's 1533-position model. The record is from RNAcentral.